Molecule: ribosomal RNA, 1204 nt
Filed under: metagenome
Description: bacterial LSU rRNA
Rfam family: Bacterial large subunit ribosomal RNA
Source: RNAcentral
AGGAACUAGGCAAAUUGACCCCGUAAGUUCGCGAGAAGGGGUGCCUGUGAGAGCAGGCCGCAGAGAAUAGGCCCAAGCAACUGUUUAGCAAAAACACAGGUCUCUGCUAAAGCGUAAGCUGAUGUAUAGGGGCUGACGCCUGCCCGGUGCUGGAAGGUUAAGGGGAACACUUAGCGCAAGCGAAGGUGUGAACUUAAGCCACAGUAAACGGCGGCCGUAACAAUAACGGUCCUAAGGUAGCGAAAUUCCUUGUCAGGUAAGUUCUGACCCGCACGAAUGGCGUAAUGACUUGGGCACUGUCUCAACUGCAAAUCCGGCGAAGUUGUAGUGCGAGUGAAGAUGCUCGCUACCCGCGAUUGGACGGAAAGACCCCGUAGAGCUUUACUGUAGCUUAGCAUUGAAUUCCGGUAUUGUCUGUACAGGAUAGGUGGGAGACUGGGAAACUAGGGCGUCAGCCUUAGUGGAGUCAACCUUGGGAUACCACCCUGACAGUACUGGGGUUCUAACAGGACGCCAUGAAACUGGUGACUGGACAUUGUUAGGUGGGCAGUUUGACUGGGCCGGUCGCCUCCUAAAAAGUAACGGAGGCGCCCAAAGGUUCCCUCAGAACGGUCGGGAAUCGUUCGUAGAGUGCAAAGGCAGAAGGGAGCCUGACUGCGAGACCCACAAGUCGAGCAGGGACGAAAGUCGGGCUUAGUGAUCCGGUGGUACCUCGUGGGAGGGCCAUCGCUCAACGGAUAAAAGCUACCUCGGGGAUAACAGGCUGAUCUCCCCCAAGAGUCCACAUCGACGGGGAGGUUUGGCACCUGAUGUCGGCUCGUCGCAUCCUGGGGCUGUAGUAGGUCCCAAGGGUUGGGCUGUUCGCCCAUUAAAGCGGCACGCGAGCUGGGUUCAGAACGUCGUGAGACAGUUCGGUCCCUAUCCGUCGCGGGCGUAGGAAAUUUGAGAGGAGCUGUCCUUAGUACGAGAGGACCGGGAUGGACUGACCUCUGGUGCACCAGUUGUUCUGCCAAGAGCAUAGCUGGGUAGCUAAGUCGGGAAGGGAUAAACGCUGAAAGCAUCUAAGCGUGAAGCCCCCCUCAAGAUGAGUUUUCCCAUAGCAUAAGCUAGUAAGACCCCUUGAAGAACACAAGGUUGAUAGGUCAGAGGUGGAAGUGCGGUAACGUAUGUAGCUGACUGAUACUAAUAGGUCGAGGGCUUGACC